GACGAACGCUGGCGGCGUGCUUAACACAUGCAAGUCGAACGGUGAAGCUCCAGCUUGCUGGAGUGGAUCAGUGGCGAACGGGUGAGUAACACGUGAGCAACCUGCCCCUGACUCUGGAAUAAGCGCUGGAAACGGCGUCUAAUACUGGAUACGAGAAGGGUCCGCAUGGGCACUUUCUGGAAAGUUUUUCGGUUGGGGAUGGGCUCGCGGCCUAUCAGCUUGUUGGUGAGGUGAUGGCUCACCAAGGCGACGACGGGUAGCCGGCCUGAGAGGGCGACCGGCCACACUGGGACUGAGACACGGCCCAGACUCCUACGGGAGGCAGCAGUGGGGAAUAUUGCACAAUGGGCGAAAGCCUGAUGCAGCGACGCCGCGUGAGGGAUGACGGCCUUCGGGUUGUAAACCUCUUUCAGCAGGGAAGAAGCGAAAGUGACGGUACCUGCAGAAGAAGCACCGGCUAACUACGUG
This 468-nucleotide ribosomal RNA is filed under the name uncultured bacterium. Its description in RNAcentral is "partial 16S ribosomal RNA". It matches the Rfam family "Bacterial small subunit ribosomal RNA", at positions 28 to 507 of the family's 1533-position model. The record is from RNAcentral.